GCCUGGGUGGCUGAGUCGGUUAAGCGUCCGACUUCGGCUCGGGUCAUGAUGUCGCGGUUCGUGGGUUCGAGCCCCGCAUCGGGCU
Transfer RNA from Felis catus (domestic cat), 85 nucleotides. It matches the Rfam family "tRNA". From Rfam's summary of the family: Transfer RNA (tRNA) molecules are approximately 80 nucleotides in length. Their secondary structure includes four short double-helical elements and three loops (D, anti-codon, and T loops). Further hydrogen bonds mediate the characteristic L-shaped molecular structure. tRNAs have two regions of fundamental functional importance: the anti-codon, which is responsible for specific mRNA codon recognition, and the 3' end, to which the tRNAs corresponding amino acid is attached (by aminoacyl-tRNA synthetases). tRNAs cope with the degeneracy of the genetic code in two manners: having more than one tRNA (with a specific anti-codon) for a particular amino acid; and 'wobble' base-pairing, i.e. permitting non-standard base-pairing at the 3rd anti-codon position. Lineage: Eukaryota; Metazoa; Chordata; Mammalia; Carnivora; Felidae. The record is from Rfam.